This 481-nucleotide ribosomal RNA is filed under the name uncultured bacterium. RNAcentral describes it as "bacterial SSU rRNA". It matches the Rfam family "Bacterial small subunit ribosomal RNA", at positions 92 to 604 of the family's 1533-position model. The record is from RNAcentral.
AUGGUGGCGGACGGGUGAGUAACGCGUAAAGACUUGCCUUGCAGUCUGGGACAACGUCUGGAAACGGACGCUAAUACCGGAUAUUAUUGCAUGAUGAAAGCUAUAUGCGCUGCGAGAGAGCUUUGCGUCCCAUUAGUUAGUUGGUGAGGUAACGGCUCACCAAGACGAUGAUGGGUAGCCGGCCUGAGAGGGUGAACGGCCACAAGGGGACUGAGACACGGCCCUUACUCCUACGGGAGGCAGCAGUGGGGAAUAUUGGACAAUGGACCAAAGUCUGAUCCAGCAAUUCUGUGUGCACGAUGAAGUUUUUCGGAAUGUAAAGUGCUUUCAGUUGGGAAGAAGAAAGUGACGGUACCAACAGAAGAAGCGACGGCUAAAUACGUGCCAGCAGCCGCGGUAAUACGUAUGUCGCAAGCGUUAUCCGGAUUUAUUGGGCGUAAAGCGUGUCUAGGCGGUUUGGUAAGUCUGAUGUGAAAAUGCG